UGGGGAAUAUUGCGCAAUGGGCGAAAGCCUGACGCAGCGACGCCGCGUGGAGGAUGAAGGUCUUCGGAUUGUAAACUCCUGUCAGAUGGGAAGAAAGGUUCAUGUUUAAUAAACGUGAAAUAUGACGGUACCAUCAGAGGAAGCACCGGCUAACUUCGUGCCAGCAGCCGCGGUAAUACGAAGGGUGCAAACGUUAUUCGGAAUCACUGGGCGUAAAGGGUGCGUAGACGGUUUAUUAAGUUCGUUGUUAAAGGCUCCGGCCCAACCGGAGUAUUGCGAUGAAAACUGGUGAACUAGAGGGUGAGAGAGAGAAGUGGAAUUCCCGGAGUAGCGGUAAAAUGCGUGGAUCUCGGGAGGAACACCAAUGGCGAAGGCAGCUUCUUGGCUCACAUCUGACGUUGAGGCACGAAAGCGUGGGGAGCAAACA
This 427-nucleotide ribosomal RNA is filed under the name uncultured bacterium. Its description in RNAcentral is "partial 16S ribosomal RNA". It matches the Rfam family "Bacterial small subunit ribosomal RNA", at positions 355 to 774 of the family's 1533-position model. The record is from RNAcentral.